CUCCGGUUGAUCCCGCGGGACCCGACUGCUAUCAGAGUGGGACUAAGCCAUGCGAGUCAACAUAGCAAUAUGUGGCAUACGGCUCAGUAACACGUAGUCAACAUGCCCAGGGGACGUGGAUAACCUCGGGAAACUGAGGAUAGACCGCGAUAGGUCAUCACUUCUGGAAUGGGUAAUGACUUAAAUCUAUAUGGCCCCUGGAUUGGACUGCGGCCGAUCAGGCUGUUGGUGAGGUAAUGGCCCACCAAACCUGUAACCGGUACGGGCUCUGAGAGGAGGAGCCCGGAGAUGGGCACUGAGACAAGGGCCCAGGCCCUAUGGGGCGCAGCAGGCGCGAAACCUCUGCAAUAGGCGAAAGCUUGACAGGGUUACUCUGAGUGAUUUCCGUUAAGGAGAUCUUUUGGCACCUCUAAAAAUGGUGCAGAAUAAGGGGUGGGCAAGUCUGGUGUCAGCCGCCGCGGUAAUACCAGCACCCCGAGUGGUCGGGACGUUUAUUGGGCCUAAAGCAUCCGUAGCCGGUUCUACAAGUCUUCCGUUAAAUCCACCUGCUUAACAGAUGGGCUGCGGAAGAUACUAUAGAGCUAGGAGGCGGGAGAGGCAAGCGGUACUCGAUGGGUAGGGGUAAAAUCCGUUGAUCCAUUGAAGACCACCAGUGGCGAAGGCGGCUUGCCAGAACGCGCUCGACGGUGAGGGAUGAAAGCUGGGGGAGCAAACCGGAUUAGAUACCCGGGUAGUCCCAGCUGUAAACGAUGCAGACUCGGUGAUGAGUUGGCUUAUUGCUAACUCAGUGCCGCAGGGAAGCCGUUAAGUUUGCCGCCUGGGGAGUACGGUCGCAAGACUGAAACUUAAAGGAUUGGCGGGGGAGCA
This 867-nucleotide ribosomal RNA is filed under the name uncultured archaeon. Its description in RNAcentral is "bacterial SSU rRNA". It matches the Rfam family "Archaeal small subunit ribosomal RNA", at positions 1 to 878 of the family's 1478-position model. The record is from RNAcentral.